UAAAGAGUAGCCAAGUGGUACGGCAACGGAUUUUGAUUUCGGUAUGCAUAGGUUCGAUUCCUAUCUCUUUAA
Non-coding RNA from Eimeria tenella, 72 nucleotides. Lineage: Eukaryota; Apicomplexa; Conoidasida; Eucoccidiorida; Eimeriidae. The record is from Rfam.